UCUUCUUCUUCUUCUUCUUCUUCUUCUCUUCUCCCUCUUCUUCCUCUCUUCUUCUCCCCACGCUCCACCGCUCCUCUCUCUGUUCGAGAAACAGACCCACGCCCCACCGCUUCUCUCUCUGUUCGAGAAACAGACCCACGCCCCACCGCUUCUCUCUCUGUUCGAGAAACAGAGAGCGUGGGAGGCGGUGGGAUAAAACCGAAUUUUCGGUUUUCUUUAUUUUCUU
RNAcentral lists this long non-coding RNA (226 nucleotides) under Musa acuminata (dwarf banana). Its description in RNAcentral is "long non-coding RNA (MACU_LNC008634)". The record is from RNAcentral. Lineage: Eukaryota; Viridiplantae; Streptophyta; Magnoliopsida; Zingiberales; Musaceae.